GGCAGAAGCAAUUAUUCCUGGCUUUUGUAACUCAACAUGCUGUGCUUGGCACUUUACAAUGUUUUCAUCAUCAUUGAGUUAUCAACAUUUAUCUCUAUCAGGGGAAAGGGAAGGCUGUCCAGUUACGAAGUUCUGGCAAUCACAUAGACCUGUUUACCGGUAUCUGUGCAGCUCCCUUCACUUGCUCAGAUGCAGGAGGAAGCCCCUCAGGCCCUAGGCCCUGUGCCUGAGUCUGGGCCCAUCUGAGAGGUAACAGAAAACCAAGGGGGAGAGGUGGUCUACCUCUGAGGUCUCAGGUUACAGGGCUAUGCUCUCAGGUUAUGUGGGAACUCAGGGCCCAUGGCCG
RNAcentral lists this long non-coding RNA (346 nucleotides) under Bos taurus (domestic cattle). RNAcentral describes it as "long non-coding RNA NONBTAT004195". Lineage: Eukaryota; Metazoa; Chordata; Mammalia; Artiodactyla; Bovidae. The record is from RNAcentral.